This 413-nucleotide ribosomal RNA is filed under the name uncultured bacterium. RNAcentral describes it as "bacterial SSU rRNA". It matches the Rfam family "Bacterial small subunit ribosomal RNA", at positions 28 to 436 of the family's 1533-position model. The record is from RNAcentral.
GACGAACGCUGGCGGCGCGCCUAACACAUGCAAGUCGAACGAGAGAUGAGGAGCUUGCUCUUCAAAUCGAGUGGCGAACGGGUGAGUAACGCGUGAGGAACCUGCCUCAAAGAGGGGGACAACAGUUGGAAACGACUGCUAAUACCGCAUAAGCCCACGGCUCGGCAUCGAGCAGAGGGAAAAGGAGCAAUCCGCUUUGAGAUGGCCUCGCGUCCGAUUAGCUAGUUGGUGAGGUAAUGGCCCACCAAGGCGACGAUCGGUAGCCGGACUGAGAGGUUGAACGGCCACAUUGGGACUGAGACACGGCCCAGACUCCUACGGGAGGCAGCAGUGGGGAAUAUUGCACAAUGGGGGAAACCCUGAUGCAGCGACGCCGCGUGGAGGAAGAAGGUCUUCGGAUUGUAAACUCCUGU